AGAGUUUGAUCCUGGCUCAGGACGAACGCUGGCGGCGUGCCUAACACAUGCAAGUCGAACGGGACUGGGGGCAACUCCAGUUCAGUGGCGGACGGGUGCGUAACACGUGAGGAACAUGACUUCGUGGGGGAUAGCCGGCCCAACGGCCGGGUAAUACCGCGUACGACCUGUCGGGGACAUCCCCGGUUGGUGAAAGCAGCAAUGCGCCGAAAGAGUGCCUCGCGGCCUAUCAGCUAGUUGGUGGGGUAAUGGCCCACCAAGGCGACGACGGGUAGCUGGUCUGAGAGGAUGGCCAGCCACAUUGGGACUGAGACACGGCCCAGACUCCUACGGGAGGCAGCAGUGGGGAAUAUUGCGCAAUGGGCGAAAGCCUGACGCAGCGACGCCGCGUGUGGGAUGACGGCCUUCGGGUUGUAAACCACUGUCGGGAGGGACGAAUGCGCCGCAAGGCGAGUGACGGUACCUCCAAAGGAAGCACCGGCUAACCCCGUG
Molecule: ribosomal RNA, 492 nt
Filed under: uncultured bacterium
Lineage: Bacteria
Description: bacterial SSU rRNA
Rfam family: Bacterial small subunit ribosomal RNA
Source: RNAcentral